CUUCGUGGUCCAGUGGUAAGGACACUUGCCUCUCACCCUGGAGUUUUAGGUUCGAUCCAAUGACGGGAAGU
This 71-nucleotide transfer RNA is filed under the name Rhamnusium bicolor. RNAcentral's name for it is "tRNA-OTHER". Lineage: Eukaryota; Metazoa; Arthropoda; Insecta; Coleoptera; Cerambycidae. The record is from RNAcentral.